GUGGGGAAUUUUGGACAAUGGGCGCAAGCCUGAUCCAGCAAUGCCGCGUGCAGGAAGAAGGCCUUCGGGUUGUAAACUGCUUUUGUACGGAACGAAACGGCUCUGGUUAAUACCUGGGGCUAAUGACGGUACCGUAAGAAUAAGCACCGGCUAACUACGUGCCAGCAGCCGCGGUAAUACGUAGGGUGCAAGCGUUAAUCGGAAUUACUGGGCGUAAAGCGUGCGCAGGCGGUGUUGUAAGACAGGCGUGAAAUCCCCGGGCUCAACCUGGGAAUUGCGCUUGUGACUGCAAAGCUGGAGUGCGGCAGAGGGGGAUGGAAUUCCGCGUGUAGCAGUGAAAUGCGUAGAUAUGCGGAGGAACACCGAUGGCGAAGGCAAUCCCCUGGGCCUGCACUGACGCUCAUGCACGAAAGCGUGGGGAGCAAACAGGAUUAGAUACCCGUGUAGUCC
RNAcentral lists this ribosomal RNA (450 nucleotides) under uncultured bacterium. RNAcentral describes it as "bacterial SSU rRNA". It matches the Rfam family "Bacterial small subunit ribosomal RNA", at positions 354 to 796 of the family's 1533-position model. The record is from RNAcentral.